UAUGCAGGCCUCUGUGAGUACUGAAUUGCUGAGAGUUAAAGAAGUUUCCACAUGUGAAGGGGAAGCCAGGUUGCAAUCAGGAAGGAUUUUUGUAUAAGCAUUUCUGAGCAUCCCUAUGGUGUGAGAAAAUGGAAAUUUUCCAUCAUUUUCAGUCCCCUGGUUCAAGGUCCAAAUCUUGGAGAGAGCUCAAGAGUGACUCGUUGGAUGACAGAGAAGUCUUCAUGGUGCUGUGCUGGCAGAACUUGCUGGAAAUCCAUCCUCUAGGGUGCUAAGGAAAGUUAUUCACAGGGAGAUGUCUCACCGGAGACACUGCACUAUGAAACAGCCUGGAGAGGUGCCACCUACUGGCCACUGGGUGCUGGUGGUCAGUGGGUGCUACAGAAGCCAUGCGUCAGAGAAGCCACCCAAGGGGAUUUAAUGUUGGUAUUUGUGUUGGCAGAUUCGGCACUCAGCAGAAGCAUUAGCCAAGUCAGCCUUAGUAAGCAUGUGUGUGUUGUUAAGCCCAUGCAUAGUCUCCAUCCCAGCCACCACAGCCACUUUGUUCAGAGGUUCAUUGAGUAAACACUGGGGUGGCUAGGCAAAGUGACUGACAUCUCAAAAAGCAUCAUUUUGUCCACCUGAUAAUUAAGAGCCUCCUCUGCCGUAGAUGUCCUUCAGUGGGCUUUCAUGUGGAACACAAAUAUCUUCAGAGUUUGUGCCCGUUCAGAGAGGUCCAUCCACAUACUUCUUCCCAAAACUUCCUUGUGAUCAAUUGUUGAAUCCUGUUUCUUCCAAGUCCCUAGCCCACCAGCCCAACAAAUAGCAACUGCCCAUGAAGCAGUGUAGAUCCAUACUUCUGGCCAUCUCUCACUCUAGAUAUGAACAACCAAAUCUAUUGUCCAAAGUUCUGCCCACUGGAAGGAGAUUCCUUCACUCUGGUCCUUCAGGGUCAUCCCUGAGUGGGGCUGUAAUGCUGCAGCUAUCUACUUUUGGAUGGUGCCAGCUUAUUGUACAGACCCCUCUGUAAACCAAGUUUGAUUUUUUUCUUCCUCAGACCAAUUGUCAAUAUAUGCAACGUCCCAAAAAUAUCUGGGUAUUUUCUAUAACGCUUUCAGUCUUCCUCCUGUAGGUGGGAAUCUUCAGUUUGCCAAAGGACUCUGGAUCUAUAAUUCCUCCCUGAGAAACUGAGGCUUUCCCCUGGCCUUAGUGUUAAGUCUCUGCAGAUUCAACAAGCUUUAAUUCUGGGCCACUGGUAAAAAUACUUUUAUAACUUCCUUUUGCAUUGUUUGAGAUUCAAAGUGACAAGCUUAUACCUUGACUGUUUAUAAAGAAAUGCAUCUUAAAAAGUUAAGGAAACGGGAUUCUUAAAUAAGAGGGAUUUCAACCAAAGGAGUAGUAUAUGUUACUCAGUGAGACAUUAAAAUAUCUUACAGGAAAAGACUCAGUGACUCCAGCCUGCCUUGCUUAUGAACAAUGGUCACAAUGUGCUAGUAUAUUAUUCCCAUAAGAAGUAGAAAAUUGCUACUUGGCUAGGGCCAGACAUUUCAGGCCCUAUUUGGGGAUUUUCACAAGAAUCCUUCAUCACAUAGGACAGCAUAGAAGGAAUACUUCUUUCCUUUGGGAAUUCAUUUCUCCUGCCCCCUGUGGUAGGCAGGCCCCCCCAAGGAUAUCCACAUUCUAACCCCUAAAGCCUGUGAAUAUAUUACCAUACUUGACAAAGAGACUGUAGAUUUGAUUAAAUUAAGGGCCUUGAGAUAAGAAAGUUAUUCUAGAUUAUCUGGGUUAUUCUGAAUUAUCUGGGCCCAAUCUAAUCACGCAAGACCUUAAAAGCAGAGAGCCCUUCCUGGCUGUGGUCAGGGGAAGACGUGCCUACCGAAGACAGAGCAGAGAUGCAACAUUGCUAGCUUUGAAGGUGGAAAAGGGUAGCUGUGAGCCAACGAAUGUGGUGGCCUCUAGAAACUGAAAAAGGCAGGAAAAGGGGUUCUAGAGCCUCUGGAAAGGAAUGCAGCACUGUCAAAAUCUUAAUUUUAGCCCAGUAAGACCUGUGUCA
Equus caballus (horse) is the source of this 2029-nucleotide long non-coding RNA. Lineage: Eukaryota; Metazoa; Chordata; Mammalia; Perissodactyla; Equidae. The record is from Ensembl.